GUCAUAUGCUUGUCUCAAAGAUUAAGCCAUGCAUGUCUCAGUACAAGCCAAAUUAAGGUGAAACCGCGAAAGGCUCAUUAAAUCAGUUAUGGUUCCUUAGAUCGUACCCACAAUUACUUGGAUAACUGUGGUAAUUCUAGAGCUAAUACAUGCAAACAGAGCUCCGACCGGAGACGGAAGGAGUGCUUUUAUUAGAUCAAAACCAAUCGGUGUCGGGUUCGCUCGAUAUCGUACAACUUGGUGACUCUGAAUAACUUUACGCUGAUCGCACGGUCAUCGCACCGGCGACGCAUCUUUCAAAUGUCUGCCUUAUCAACUGUCGAUGGUAGGUUCUGCGCCUACCAUGGUUGUAACGGGUAACGGGGAAUCAGGGUUCGAUUCCGGAGAGGGAGCCUGAGAAACGGCUACCACAUCCAAGGAAGGCAGCAGGCGCGCAAAUUACCCACUCCCGGCACGGGGAGGUAGUGACGAAAAAUAACGAUACGGGACUCAUCCGAGGCCCCGUAAUCGGAAUGAGUACACUCUAAACCCUUUAACGAGGAUCAAUUGGAGGGCAAGUCUGGUGCCAGCAGCCGCGGUAAUUCCAGCUCCAAUAGCGUAUAUUAAAGUUGUUGCGGUUAAAAAGCUCGUAGUCGAAUUUGUGUCUCGCGCCGCCGGUUCAUCGUCCGCGGUGUUAACUGGCGAGUCGCGAGACGUCCUGCCGGUGGGCUUAGCUCGCGAGGGCGGCCCAACUCAAUCCUGCCGCGGUGCUCUUCAUUGAGUGUCGAGGUGGGCCGGCACGUUUACUUUGAACAAAUUAGAGUGCUUAAAGCAGGCUAAAACUUCGCCUGAAUACUGUGUGCAUGGAAUAAUGGAAUAGGACCUCGGUUCUAUUUUGUUGGUUUUCGGAACCCCGAGGUAAUGAUUAAUAGGAACGGAUGGGGGCAUUCGUAUUGCGACGUUAGAGGUGAAAUUCUUGGAUCGUCGC
RNAcentral lists this ribosomal RNA (967 nucleotides) under Trigonopterus sp. 689 AR-2022a. RNAcentral describes it as "SSU rRNA". It matches the Rfam family "Eukaryotic small subunit ribosomal RNA", at positions 23 to 931 of the family's 1831-position model. Lineage: Eukaryota; Metazoa; Arthropoda; Insecta; Coleoptera; Curculionidae. The record is from RNAcentral.